AUUCUACCCCUGUCGUUGUCCAGCGUGACAGUCUGACCGUCAACGCAUGCAUUUCCUGAAAAUGACUGCUGAGGAGCAGCAUGAGUCUCCAGAUGAGGAGGAGAUCAAUUAUUUGAGAAAAACAAUAGGUUCAGGAAAAGGAGACGGCUCUGAUGAGGAAUAUAUUCCUCACCUUUGUUUAUGGACAACUUCAGACUUCGAGAACUUCCAAAAUCACAUCCUGAUGUUUGCAGGAAAGCAUUUUGGCUUUAGCCCACCUGUAUACACAGCUCAGACAUUGCUUGUAACACU
Molecule: long non-coding RNA, 291 nt
Organism: Cololabis saira (Pacific saury)
Lineage: Eukaryota; Metazoa; Chordata; Actinopteri; Beloniformes; Belonidae
Exons: 4
Source: RefSeq, a predicted model, not a curated record